This 395-nucleotide unclassified non-coding RNA is filed under the name soil metagenome. Its description in RNAcentral is "partial contains 5.8S ribosomal RNA, internal transcribed spacer 2, and large subunit ribosomal RNA". The stretch from base 1 to 122 matches the Rfam family "5.8S ribosomal RNA", at positions 35 to 154 of the family's 154-position model. The record is from RNAcentral.
GAUGAAGAACGUAGCGAAAUGCGAUACUUGGUGUGAAUUGCAGAAUCCCGUGAACCAUCGAGUCUUUGAACGCAAGUUGCGCCCGAAGCCAUCAGGUUGAGGGCACGUCUGCCUGGGCGUCACAUAUCGUUGUCCAAUGCCUAUUGCAGUGCAAUAGGAAUUUCUAGGGCGAAUGAUGGCUUCCCGUGAGCGUUGUUGCCUCGCGGUUGGUUGAAAAUCGAGUCCUUGGUAGGGUGUGCCAUGGUAGAUGGUGGUCGAGUUAGAACGAUACCGAUCAUGUGCAUGCUCCCCAAAAUAUGGCCUCUAUGACCCACACGCGUCUUUUGACGCUCAUGACGAGACCUCAGGUCAGGCGGGGCUACCCGCUGAAUUUAAGCAUAUCAAUAAGCGGAGGA